This 253-nucleotide ribosomal RNA is filed under the name uncultured bacterium. RNAcentral's name for it is "partial 16S ribosomal RNA". It matches the Rfam family "Bacterial small subunit ribosomal RNA", at positions 524 to 776 of the family's 1533-position model. The record is from RNAcentral.
UACGUAGGGUGCAAGCGUUAAUCGGAAUUACUGGGCGUAAAGCGUGCGCAGGCGGUUUUGUAAGACUGUCGUGAAAUCCCCGGGCUUAACCUGGGAAUGGCGAUGGUGACUGCAAGGCUAGAGUUUGGCAGAGGGGGGGAGAAUUCCACGUGUAGCAGUGAAAUGCGUAGAGAUGUGGAGGAACACCGAUGGCGAAGGCAGCCCCCUGGGUCAAGACUGACGCUCAUGCACGAAAGCGUGGGGAGCAAACAGG